This is a small nuclear RNA of Ictalurus punctatus (channel catfish), 106 nucleotides long. The record is from Ensembl. NCBI's taxonomy places the organism in Eukaryota, Metazoa, Chordata, Actinopteri, Siluriformes, Ictaluridae.
GAGGGAAAGGGAUUGCACUCAUACUAAAUUGGAACGAUACAGAGAAGAUUAGCAUGGACCAUGCACAACGAUGAUACGCAAAAUCAGAAAGAGGGAUUAUGGAGUG